Molecule: long non-coding RNA, 310 nt
Organism: Monopterus albus (swamp eel)
Lineage: Eukaryota; Metazoa; Chordata; Actinopteri; Synbranchiformes; Synbranchidae
Exons: 4
Source: RefSeq, a predicted model, not a curated record
CCGAAAGCCUGCACCACACAGAGCGGACCAACAAGUCCGGUCAACAGGAGCAAAGCUGCCCCGGAGAUACAGAGAAGAUGAGCCCGGAAAGCAGAUUGAAAGGGAGUGUGAGGGAGUGUGUUUUCUGGCCAAAUCCUACUGCACGAACCACUUUCUGACCACAACAACAAUUUACAGCAAUGGGAAACCAAGAAGCCAGGCUGCCAAUAUUCAGGGUGCGCGACCCUGACCCUGAUGACGUCACUCGUGGCCAAGUCAUCAUGCUUUCCUGGUCGUUGUCAGCAGCCCCCAUUAAUUUAUUUUUUCCACA